GUGGGCGCUGCGGCUCCGCGGCUGGGCUGGCGGGGCGGGGGCGGGGGCAGCGGCAGCACCACCACGUGGCCGCCCGGCGCCGGCCCCGCCGACCCGGAUCCCGCGGGAGCGGGAAGGGAGGUGCUAACCAUUCCCCUCCCCUUCCACCCCGCCGGGCCCUAAAUUCCGCGAGUCAGGUGACCCGGCCAGGCUCUCCGGUCCAGACCUGCGAGAGUUGCCCAGGAUCCGGCAGCGAGCCCUGGGCGGCGCUGGCCUGCUCUUAGUUUUGCGUGGAUCGUGGAACCCUUCCCCGCGGAUGUGUUCCAUCGUCAUCACCUGAAGUAACUGGAAAGGACCGUGGUGGUGCACUGCAGGGUGCUGGGUGGGCAGGAGCCACGCUGCCCCUGAGGAGUUUUCUGUUCUGCUUCCAGCAGGGUCCUGUCUCUGCAGCCCUCUGCCUCGAUGAGCCUACCUGCCCGUGUCAGCUUGGGGUUUCCGUGGCUUGUGUAUUUUCAUUCUCCUUAGUUCAUAAGCCCCUAUCUAACAUCAGCGAGUCCAACGCUGGGCGAAGGAUUGUUGAGGAGGAAAGGACCAUUAUAGUCAGUGCAAUGGGCCAAGACCAUGUUCCAGAUCCCCCUCCCCUGAAAUCAGACCGCAGCUGAAGUUCAGCCUCUGGCAGGGAGAGUUCUGGUCAAGAAUGGGACUUCUCCUGGUUUUUUGGUUUGGGGGGGUCUCCCUCCCUCCACCGCGCCCCCAGGCCCUUUGGAAAUGCUGAUUGGAUUCAGAAUACACUGAACAACACCCUUGGAUGGAGACCAGGCCCAGGUAAAAGUGUGUGAAAGACGAAAAAGAAAAAGAACACAUGGACAGGGAUGACCGGGUGGUGAUUGAGGGUGGGGGGGGGAGUAUAAGGGGACAAAGUGGUCAUGGGAAAAAUAUAA
This is a long non-coding RNA of Artibeus jamaicensis (Jamaican fruit-eating bat), 920 nucleotides long. RefSeq lists it as uncharacterized. NCBI's taxonomy places the organism in Eukaryota, Metazoa, Chordata, Mammalia, Chiroptera, Phyllostomidae. The record is from RefSeq and is a predicted model, not a curated record. The transcript is spliced from 3 exons.